This 2562-nucleotide long non-coding RNA is filed under the name Canis lupus familiaris (dog). RNAcentral describes it as "lncRNA (ENSCAFG00000056695.1)". Lineage: Eukaryota; Metazoa; Chordata; Mammalia; Carnivora; Canidae. The record is from RNAcentral.
AUGAGGAAUUCUGCAAAACAGAGCCUUGACACCACAGUAUUAUUUGCUCAUUCACCAAGCACUGCUGGCACUUCUUAUUUUUGGAGAUCGAAUGUGCCUCUGUGGGCACUGGAGCAACCGCACAAAGGAUCCUGGAAUAGCAGGGCUGGUGGCGGGGGGGGGGGGGGGGGGGGGAGGGGGUGUCCAAGGGUGGAAUCUGAGGCUUGGGUCCUGGACAUCUGCCUCCUCCCCAUUUUUAGAGAUGUGCUCCUGGGUCAUUUACCCAACCAUCAGAGCUGGCACGUAUGGAGGGCCCACUGCAUGCCAGACACAAUUCAAAGCGCCUUCCUGACACCUCCAUCGUGGAUGUGGGACCCUGGGGUGACCGGGCUGGGUUUUCUCCGGGAGCUGUCUGCUGAGCUCAGGGUACGUGAAGAUCUCCUCCAUCAAAGAAAAUCCGUUGAGCACGAAGUUGAUCUACAGUCUGUCAAAAAAUCGUUUAGCAGCCCACAGACAGCUUCUCUGACAAGGGUGAUAGCUACCUCUAAAGAAUGGGUUUCCUGGGGCGCCUGGAUGGCCCAGUCAGUUAAGCGUCUGCCUUCAGCUCGGGUCAUGAUCUCGAGGUCCUGGGACGGAGCCCCUUGUCCUGGGAUCGAGUCCUGCAUGGUGCUCCCUGCUGAGCAGGGAGUCUGCUUCUCCCUCUCCCUCUGCCACCUGCCCCUGGCUUGUGCUCUCUCUGCCUCUCUCAAAUAAAUAAAAUCUUAAAAAAAUAAAAAUAAAUAAAAACAUAAAUCAUAUCAUGUCUCUCUCUCUCUUUAAAAGAACGAGUUUCCUGGGGGGGCUGGCAAAUAUUCCGAAGGCAAGGCUCAGGUAAGGGUGUGGCUUCACACUCUGGUGACAGGACAUGGAAUUAAACAAAUAAACAAACAAAAACUAUCUUAGAAUUGAGUGUUCUAUUUUUUUUUUUUUUUUUAGGAUCGAGUGUUCUAAAAACGAGAGCUUGGGUGCCCAGUCGGUGGCUGCACUAUCUUACUUAACCCUUAUGACAACCGUGUCGUCACCGCCACCAACCAAUGGCGCCACUUACAGAGAGGAGGUUGGCACCACCAGGCGACCAGGCUUUUUGUGUUCUUACCUCUCCACCUCCUCCCUGGCCUGGAACUUCCGUCCUUAAAGAUUCAAGAUGAGCAUCUGUUGUUAGAUUUCGGAAUCCGGUUAGGGGUCUAGGCUCCAGCACUCCCCGGGGAGGCAGGGGCAGCAUAAGGCCCUGUGGAUAAUGGUGCAUUGUGCCGAGGAUGGAGUAUGAACAGCUGAAUAUCAGUGGUCAUUCUCUAAGAAUCCUCGGGUUUUUUAAUGUGCCAUGAGAUUGCAUUAUUCUGGAAUAAUCCUGAAAUAAGAUAAAAUACCUAUCAUAAAGUAAGUAACACAAAGCUUACCGAAGCAGGUUUGUAUACUGUUCACUACACUUUGGCUGUCGCCUGAUGGCCGGAGGGCUCUAUUUUUCCAGAGGUGGCCAGGGCCAUGCGAACUCAGCCUUCCUCCCUAACCCCCUAACCUGAUAAGUUUUUGUUUGUUUGCUUGUUUUUUACCAAUGUCAACUGCCCUUUGUAGCGGCACUCUGAAUGUGGAUCCCUUCACUGGCUGGGAAGGUGUGAUUGAGGGGCCAUGUGCGUCCCAACCUGAAGAUGUGACAGGCCACAGCCUUGUGGGCCAAGCCUUGUGGGCCAGUAGCCCCUAGCCCCCCUCUGAGGGGUGGGGAUUACGAUUACACCCUGCAGCCCCCACCUGGUGGAGAGGGAACAGUCAGGCUCUUGGGGGGGAGUGCGGUCAGCCCAGGUGGGUUGGCUUUGGCAGGCCAUGUGGGUUGGGUGUCCCCUGCUGGGGCAGCCACAGAGCCAGCGGGGACCCCAGACUCCAAGCAGCAGCCACUUCCUCCCGAGCCCUGGAUCUCAGUUCCUACAGCCCUUUCCCCUGCUCCGGGAGACUUGUUUAAUGUUUCAUUAAGCUCCUUUGGACCUGAAAAAUGUAAUUCUAAUUAGUACAGUGGCUUCCCUGGGAAUGCCAUUUGCCAGGCUCGAGGAACCUCUGAUGGGUGUGUUAAUUUGCAUGAGGGUCCUUGGGACUGUCUCAGCCACCAUGCAGGCAUGCAUGCUGGUUCCACCCCGGCUCUUUAAUCAGAAGUGCUGGCAGCGGCUCUAACUUCUCUGAGAUGAGUGAGAGGUAGGCCAACACCCCCUCCACCUGUCACCUGUCACCACUGACUGGCCUGUGAGAGGUAGGCCAACACCCCCUCCACCUGUCACCACUGACUGGCCCACAAGAGGGGAAGGAUCCUUCUCUGCUCUCACAAUUCCAGAGGCCCAACCCGAGGACAUAGGACCUCUCUGCCUUCCCGUUCUCCACAGCCACUGCACACGUGUCUGUCCAGCCCCCCACUUACUUAUCCAACAAGUUCUCAAGCAUCCUCUCUGUGCUGGGCCCUCUGCUGGGGAGGCAGUGAAGUCCCAUUCUGGGACGGGAGACAGGGCACACACAGAGAGACAAGACUCUGCAACGCCAGGGAGCGAAGCAGGACCAGGGAGG